This is a non-coding RNA of Crocodylus porosus (Australian saltwater crocodile), 76 nucleotides long. NCBI's taxonomy places the organism in Eukaryota, Metazoa, Chordata, Crocodylia, Crocodylidae. The record is from Ensembl.
AACUGCUAUAACGGCCACAACAGAAGUGUUCACAUCGUGGCCCCUGUCAGAUUCCAGUAAAUCUGGAAAUUCUGCU